GACGAACGCUGGCGGCGUGCCUAAUACAUGCAAGUUGAGCGAUGAAGAUUGGUGCUUGCACCAAUUUGAAGAGCAGCGAACGGGUGAGUAACGCGUGGGGAAUCUGCCUUUGAGCGGGGGACAACAUUUGGAAACGAAUGCUAAUACCGCAUAACAACUUUAAACAUAAGUUUUAAGUUUGAAAGAUGCAAUUGCAUCACUCAAAGAUGAUCCCGCGUUGUAUUAGCUAGUUGGUGAGGUAAAGGCUCACCAAGGCGAUGAUACAUAGCCGAGCUGAGAGGGUGAUCGGCCAACACUGGAAUGAGACAACGCCCAAAAUUCUACGGGAGGCAGCAGUAGGGGAUCAUCGGACAUGGACGAAAGUCUGACCGAGGAACGCCGCGGGAGUGAAGAAGGGUUUCGGAUCGUAAAACUCUGUUGGUAGAGAAGAACGUUCGGGAGAGUGGAAAGCUCAUCAAGUGACGGUACCUACCCAGAAAGCGACGGCUAACUACGUG
RNAcentral lists this ribosomal RNA (497 nucleotides) under uncultured bacterium. Its description in RNAcentral is "partial 16S ribosomal RNA". It matches the Rfam family "Bacterial small subunit ribosomal RNA", at positions 28 to 507 of the family's 1533-position model. The record is from RNAcentral.